GUAGUCGAGUGGUAAGGACACUUGCCUCUCACCCUGAAGUCUCGGGUUCGAUUCCCGGUCCG
RNAcentral lists this transfer RNA (62 nucleotides) under Rhamnusium bicolor. Its description in RNAcentral is "tRNA-OTHER". The record is from RNAcentral. Lineage: Eukaryota; Metazoa; Arthropoda; Insecta; Coleoptera; Cerambycidae.